GGGUAAUAUGUCAAUUCAGUGUCCUCACUAAGAUGUGAAAACGAACGUGUGUGUGUCUGUGUGAAGUUUUGAUGUGAAUCUGAAAAACACAAUUUUGAAAACACUGGAAAGACCUGGGCCCUGUGCUUCGUACGUCGCUUACUACAUCCAAGAUCAAAUGAAACAUCCAAGACCAAAUCAUCGCGCUAACUCUGAGCUCGCUAAUCCGGUUCCCCGAACACACCUGUUGUUGACGAUUAGUAUAGCUGGAUGAAGUAAUGUGAGAUCACUGGGUGGCCCAACAGGGGCUACGCAUCGAUAGUAGAAACAUUGAUCGGCAACCCUUUGAUUGGUCGGCGAAAAUGUCGAAGGAGCGCGCUCGGUAUUUUUCGGCAGCAGAGCAAGAACUCUUGAGUGAGGGAUUUCAGGAGUUUCAGAGUUUAAUUAAAACGCAAGGGAACACUGCAAAGGCUGCAAAAGCAAGGAGAGAGGGCUGGCAGAAAGUUGCUGACAAAUCAAACUCGUAAGUAAUUUAAUAAUAACAAUAAUAAUGGAGUGGAUUUAUAUAGCGCUUUUCAAGGCACCCAAAGCGCUUUACAAUGCCACUAUUCAUUCACUCUCACAUUCACACACUGGUGGAGGCAGCUACGGUUGUAGCCACAGCUGCCCUGGGGCAGACUGACAGAAGCCAGGCUGCCAUAUUGCGCCAUCGGCCCCUCUGGCCAACACCAGUAGGCGGUAGGGUAGAUUUAUCAUAUCACACCAUAUUAUCCAAUAUUAUAUUACAUUAUAUUAUAUUAUAAUAUGUUAUAUUAUAUCCCCUUUCACAUUAGAGCCACAACAGGACCCACUAGAACAUGGGAACAAGUAAAAGUGAAAUAUAAGAAUAUUCUACAGAAUGCAACCAAGAAAAGGGCAGAGCAAAAAAAAAGACAGGUGGUGGUCCUGCACCCCCUCGUCAACAAGUUGGUUAAGUGAAUAAUACCCUCACGGGAAAAUCGAUAUCUCUCUAUGAGCACACUGUCGCGCUGAGCUAAAGGAUCCUGUCUGUCCCGCAAUAUACGCUGAAUUCUGAAAACUCUCCUUAUCAAUCUUGGACCUUCCGCAAUGGGUUGCUCGCGUAAACGGACAGGAUAUGACUGCGACAGACUUCCCAAAUCCACCUUCGCUUUUAUAGCCGUGGUCUCUCAUCUUGAUUACACGAAGUAAUUUACAAUUACUACUCUGAAAUAUGAAUUACAUCUGUAAUAAUCAC
Long non-coding RNA from Astatotilapia calliptera (eastern happy), 1234 nucleotides. NCBI's taxonomy places the organism in Eukaryota, Metazoa, Chordata, Actinopteri, Cichliformes, Cichlidae. The record is from Ensembl.